GAGUUUGAUCAUGGCUCAGAACGUACGCUGGCGGCACGCCUAACACAUGCAAGUCGAACGAAGUAGCAAUACUUAGUGGCAGACGGGUGAGUAACAUGUAGGUAUCUGCCCUUUGGCCUGGAAUAACACGAGGAAACUUGUGCUAAUACCGGAUAAGUCUUUACGGAGAAAGCUUUAUGCACCAUUGGACGAGCCUGCACUUGAUUAGUUUGUUGGUGGGGUAAUGGCCUACCAAGACUGUGAUCAAUAGCUGAUUUGAGAGGAUGAUCAGCCACAUUGGGACUGAGACACGGCCCAAACUCCUACGGGAGGCAGCAGUGGGGAAUCUUGCACAAUGGAGGAAACUCUGAUGCAGCGAUGCCGCGUGAGUGAAGAAGGCCCUUGGGUUGUAAAGCUCUUUCGUCGGGGAAGAAAAUGACUGUACCCGAAUAAGAAGGUCCGGCUAACUUCGUGCCAGCAGCCGCGGUAAUACGAAGGGACCUAGCGUAGUUCGGAAUUACUGGGCUUAAAGAGUUCGUAGGUGGUUGAAAAAGUUAGUGGUGAAAUCCCAGAGCUUAACUCUGGAACUGCCAUUAAAACUUUUCAGCUAGAGUAUGAUAGAGGAAAGCAGAAUUUCUAGUGUAGAGGUGAAAUUCGUAGAUAUUAGAAAGAAUACCAAUUGCGAAAGGCAGCUUUCUGGAUCAUUACUGACACUGAGGAACGAAAGCAUGGGUAGCGAGA
Molecule: ribosomal RNA, 720 nt
Filed under: uncultured bacterium
Lineage: Bacteria
Description: bacterial SSU rRNA
Rfam family: Bacterial small subunit ribosomal RNA
Source: RNAcentral